AGCGGCGGAUGGGUGAGUAACACGUGGGGAACCUGCCCCUAAGUCUGGGAUACCAUUUGGGAACAGGUGCUAAUACCGGAUAAUAAAGCAGAUCGCAUGAUCAGCUUUUGAAAGGCGGCGUAAGCUGUCGCUAAGGGAUGGCCCCGCGGUGCAUUAGCUAGUUGGUAAGGUAACGGCUUACCAAGGCGACGAUGCAUAGCCGAGUUGAGAGACUGAUCGGCCACAUUGGGACUGAGACACGGCCCAAACUCCUACGGGAGGCAGCAGUAGGGAAUCUUCCACAAUGGACGCAAGUCUGAUGGAGCAACGCCGCGUGAGUGAAGAAGGUUUUCGGAUCGUAAAGCUCUGUUGUUGGUGAAGAAGGAUAGAGGUAGUAACUGGCCUUUAUUUGACGGUAAUCAACCAGAAAGUCACGGCUAACUACGUGCCAGCAGCCGCGGUAAUACGUAGGUGGCAAGCGUUGUCCGGAUUUAUUGGGCGUAAAGCGAGCGCAGGCGGAAAAAUAAGUCUAAUGUGAAAGCCCUCGGCUUAACCGAGGAACUGCAUCGGAAACUGUUUUUCUUGAGUGCAGAAGAGGAGAGUGGAACUCCAUGUGUAGCGGUGGAAUGCGUAGGUAUAUGGAAGAACACCAGUGGCGAAGGCGGCUCUCUGGUCUGCAACUGACGCUGAGGCUCGAAAGCAUGGGUAGCGAACAGGAUUAGAUACCCUGGUAGUCCAUGCCGUAAACGAUGAGUGCUAAGUGU
RNAcentral lists this ribosomal RNA (743 nucleotides) under uncultured bacterium. RNAcentral describes it as "bacterial SSU rRNA". It matches the Rfam family "Bacterial small subunit ribosomal RNA", at positions 94 to 823 of the family's 1533-position model. The record is from RNAcentral.